AUUGACUGUAGCCCUCUCCGAAUCCUUGCAACUGAAGUGCGGGGGAAAAGUACGUAUUAUGUCUGUCGACAUUCCAGACAUAAGGGCCUCCCGGGUGGCGCAGUGGUUAAGGGCGCUGUACUGCAGCGCCAGCUGUUCCACCAGAGACUCUGGGUUCGUGCCUAGGCUCUGUCGUAACCGGCCGUGACCGGGAGGUCCGUGGGGCAACGCACAAUUGGCCUAGCGUCGUCCGGGUUAGGGAGGGUUUGGCCGGUAGGGAUAUCCUUGUCUCAUUGCAGUGCGCACCAACCAACUGUUACUGAGUUUGGGUAAUCCAAAUAUUAUGUUACUGAUUACAAUUUUGGACAGGUAACUAGUAACUGUAACGGAUUACAUUUAGAAAGUAGUCUAUCCAAACCUGGUGGCAUGAAUACAAUGUCCAUCACAUGACAGUUCCUCAUGUAACAACUAGGAGAUAUGAAGCAAAUAUGAAGCAAUUGGCUUGAUUUGGAAUGAGGAAGAGAAAGAAGGCAUACCUCUCUAACCUCUAGUUUACCUACUGCCCUCUGUUUUAAUCUACCCAUCUAUUUUACUAUGUAAACUGGCUACAGCCAAGAGACAACCAAUGGAAUUGAGUUGAUUAGCAUGUUGGAUGCUGGUUGGUGGAUACAUUUUGAGAUACGGGACCAGAAUAUGUUUAAAAACAGAGGUGUCCUCUGGAAAGUACAGCGACCAUGAAAACCAUGAAGACACUGAGUGGUGUUCUUCUGCUCUCCCUGAUGUUGGCAGAUGCCACGUUGGGCGACAUUCAGAAGAGGAUCAUCGGGGGGAGGACUGUAAGGACACUGAAAGGCUGUAUCAUGUGCGCAUAGUAUGGCAGGCAGGAAAAUACUUUCUUUAUCAGUGUGGUGGUUCUCUGAUCAGUGACCAGUGGGUUCUAACUGCUGCUCACUGCAGGCCUGGAGGAGUUAAAGGAGUGGUGAGUGUACAUGUGCACAACAGAUAAAGGAUGAAGGAUUGUGAGCAUAACUGUUCAUAAUAGCGUUUACUGUCACCAUCAGAUUGGGGGUGGGUGUGUGUGUGUGUGUGUGUGUGUGUGUGUGUGUGUGUGUGUGUGUGUGUGUGUGUGUGUGUGUGUGUGUGUGUGUGUGUGUGUGUGUGUGUGUGUGUGUGUGUGUGUGUGUGUGUGUGUGUGUGUGUGUGUGUGUGUGUGUGUGUGUGUGAAAAUGUAUUCGCUCACUACUGUAAGUCACUCUGGAUACGAGCGUCAGAUGACUCAAAUGUAAAUGUAAAAAUGUGU
This 1279-nucleotide long non-coding RNA is filed under the name Oncorhynchus mykiss (rainbow trout). Its description in RNAcentral is "lncRNA (ENSOMYG00000056639.1)". Lineage: Eukaryota; Metazoa; Chordata; Actinopteri; Salmoniformes; Salmonidae. The record is from RNAcentral.